Molecule: unclassified non-coding RNA, 289 nt
Filed under: Pleosporales sp.
Lineage: Eukaryota; Fungi; Ascomycota; Dothideomycetes; Pleosporales
Description: partial contains 5.8S ribosomal RNA, internal transcribed spacer 2, and large subunit ribosomal RNA
Rfam family: 5.8S ribosomal RNA (bases 1-71)
Source: RNAcentral
GUGAGUCAUCGAAUCUUUGAACGCACAUUGCGCCCCUCGGUAUUCCGUGGGGCAUGCCUGUUCGAGCGUCAUUUAAACCCUCAAGCACAGCUUGGUGUUGGGUGCUUGUCCCGCCUCCGCGCGGCGACUCACCUCAAAGUCAUUGGCAGCCCGCAUCCGCCGGCCGUGAGCGCAGCACAGUCGCGCCCUAGGUCCCGGCAGGUCGGCUCUCCAGAAGCACUUCUUCCACCAUUGACCUCGGAUCAGGUAGGGAUACCCGCUGAACUUAAGCAUAUCAAUAAGCGGAGGA